This 255-nucleotide ribosomal RNA is filed under the name uncultured bacterium. Its description in RNAcentral is "partial 16S ribosomal RNA". It matches the Rfam family "Bacterial small subunit ribosomal RNA", at positions 524 to 777 of the family's 1533-position model. The record is from RNAcentral.
UACGUAGGGUGCAAGCGUUAAUCGGAAUACUGGGCGUAAAGCGUGCGCAGGCGGUUAUGUAAGACAGAUGUGAAAUCCCCGGGCUCAACCCUGGGAACUGCAUUUGUGACUGCAUAGCUAGAGUACGGUAGAGGGGGAUGGAAUUCCGCGUGUAGCAGUGAAAUGCGUAGAUAUGCGGAGGAACACCGAUGGCGAAGGCAAUCCCCUGGACCUGUACUGACGCUCAUGCACGAAAGCGUGGGGGAGCAAACAGGG